Molecule: ribosomal RNA, 465 nt
Filed under: Vreelandella stevensii
Lineage: Bacteria; Pseudomonadati; Pseudomonadota; Gammaproteobacteria; Oceanospirillales; Halomonadaceae
Description: partial 16S ribosomal RNA
Rfam family: Bacterial small subunit ribosomal RNA
Source: RNAcentral
CCUACGGGUGGCAGCAGUGGGGAAUAUUGGACAAUGGGGGGAACCCUGAUCCAGCCAUGCCGCGUGUGUGAAGAAGGCCCUCGGGUUGUAAAGCACUUUCAGUGAGGAAGAACGCCUGGUGGUUAAUACCCAUCAGGAAAGACAUCACUCACAGAAGAAGCACCGGCUAACUCCGUGCCAGCAGCCGCGGUAAUACGGAGGGUGCGAGCGUUAAUCGGAAUUACUGGGCGUAAAGCGCGCGUAGGUGGCUUGAUAAGCCGGUUGUGAAAGCCCCGGGCUCAACCUGGGAACGGCAUCCGGAACUGUCAAGCUAGAGUGCAGGAGAGGAAGGUAGAAUUCCCGGUGUAGCGGUGAAAUGCGUAGAGAUCGGGAGGAAUACCAGUGGCGAAGGCGGCCUUCUGGACUGACACUGACACUGAGGUGCGAAAGCGUGGGUAGCAAACAGGAUUAGAUACCGGUGUAGUC